Molecule: ribosomal RNA, 207 nt
Filed under: uncultured bacterium
Lineage: Bacteria
Description: partial 16S ribosomal RNA
Rfam family: Bacterial small subunit ribosomal RNA
Source: RNAcentral
CGCGUAGGCGGCUUUAUAAGUCAGAUGUGAAAGUCCACGGCUCAACUGUGGAAGUGCAUUUGAAACUGUGAAGCUUGAGUAUCGGAGGGGAGUGUGGAAUUCCCGGUGUAGAGGUGAAAUUCGUAGAGAUCGGGAGGAACACCGGUGGCGAAGGCGACACUCUGGACGAAUACUGACGCUGAGGCGCGAAAGCGUGGGGAGCAAACA